AUUUAAGCUUAAGAAGGUGUACGACGAAUGCCUAGGGACAAGAUGCCGAUGAAGGACGCGAAAGCGGCGAAACGCCCAGGGGAGCUGCACAGAAGUGUUGAUCCUGGGAUAUCCGAAUGAGGAAACUCCUCCAGAGUAAUGUUUGGGGAUCCGGUUCUGAAUACAUAGGAAUCGUGAAGGCAACCUGCUGAACUGAAACAUCUAAGUAAGCAGAGGAAAAGAAAUCGAAGAGAUUCUGCAAGUAGCGGCGAGCGAACGCGGAAGAGCCUAAACCAAGGGGUUUACUCCUUGGGGUCGUGGGGCCACUACUACCAUCCCCCUCGAAUUGAGGUCUAGAACUUCAGUUCGAGGUUGGUAGAAAAGAAGAUCGAAGCUAGUUAAAAGAAGAGCAUUGGAAAGUGCCGCCAUAGAGGGUGAUAGCCCCGUAUUUGAAAACUCAGAUCGAAUUCAAGUGGUACCCGAGUAGCACGGAGCACGUGGAACCCCGUGUGAAUC
This 495-nucleotide ribosomal RNA is filed under the name Armatimonadota bacterium. RNAcentral describes it as "Armatimonadetes bacterium (bioreactor metagenome) partial 23S ribosomal RNA". It matches the Rfam family "Bacterial large subunit ribosomal RNA", at positions 1 to 444 of the family's 2925-position model. The record is from RNAcentral. Lineage: Bacteria; Bacillati; Armatimonadota.